UACGGAGGGUGCGAGCGUUGUCCGGAAUCAUUGGGCGUAAAGGGCGCGUAGGUGGCUUCUUAAGCGUGCGGUGAAAGCCUGGGGCUCAACCCCGGGUCGGCCGUGCGAACUGGGGGGCUGGAGCACUGUAGAGGCAGGCGGAAUUCCGGGUGUAGCGGUGGAAUGCGUAGAGAUCCGGAAGAACACCGGUGGCGAAGGCGGCCCGCUGGGCAACUGCUGACACUGAUGCGCGACAGCGUGGGGAGCAAACAGG
Molecule: ribosomal RNA, 253 nt
Filed under: uncultured bacterium
Lineage: Bacteria
Description: partial 16S ribosomal RNA
Rfam family: Bacterial small subunit ribosomal RNA
Source: RNAcentral